GGGUUGUGAGGUUAAGCGACUAAGCGUACACGGUGGAUGCCCUGGCAGUCAGAGGCGAUGAAGGGCGUGCUAAUCUGCGAUAAGCGCCGGUAAGGUGAUAUGAACCGUUAUAACCGGCGAUACCCGAAUGGGGAAACCCAGUGUGACUCGUCACACUAUCAUUAACUGAAUCCAUAGGUUAAUGAGGCGAACCGGGGGAACUGAAACAUCUAAGUACCCCGAGGAAAAGAAAUCAACCGAGAUUCCCCCAGUAGCGGCGAGCGAACGGGGAGGAGCCCAGAGCCUGAAUCAGCAUGUGUGUUAGUGGAAGCGUCUGGAAAGGCGCGCGAUACAGGGUGACAGCCCCGUACACAAAAGCGCAUGUGCUGUGAGCUCGAUGAGUAGGGCGGGACACGUGGUAUCCUGUCUGAAUAUGGGGGGACCAUCCUCCAAGGCUAAAUACUCCUGACUGACCGAUAGUGAACCAGUACCGUGAGGGAAAGGCGAAAAGAACCCCGGCGAGGGGAGUGAAAAAGAACCUGAAACCGUGUACGUACAAGCAGUGGGAGCACAGGUUUACCUGUGUGACUGCGUACCUUUUGUAUAAUGGGUCAGCGACUUAUAUUCUGUAGCAAGGUUAACCGAAUAGGGGAGCCGGAGGGAAACCGAGUCUUAACCGGGCGUUAAGUUGCAGGGUAUAGACCCGAAACCCGGUGAUCUAGCCAUGGGCAGGUUGAAGGUUGGGUAACACUAACUGGAGGACCGAACCGACUAAUGUUGAAAAAUUAGCGGAUGACCUGUGGCUGGGGGUGAAAGGCCAAUCAAACCGGGAGAUAGCUGGUUCUCCCCGAAAGCUAUUUAGGUAGCGCCUCGUGAAUUCAUCUCCGGGGGUAGAGCACUGUUUCGGCUAGGGGGCCAUCCCGGCUUACCAACCCGAUGCAAACUGCGAAUACCGGAGAAUGUUAUCACGGGAGACACACGGCGGGUGCUAACGUCCGUCGUGAAGAGGGAAACAACCCAGACCGCCAGCUAAGGUCCCAAAGUCAUGGUUAAGUGGGAAACGAUGUGGGAAGGCCCAGACAGCCAGGAUGUUGGCUUAGAAGCAGCCAUCAUUUAAAGAAAGCGUAAUAGCUCACUGGUCGAGUCGGCCUGCGCGGAAGAUGUAACGGGGCUAAACCAUGCACCGAAGCUGCGGCAGCGAACGUAUCACCCAAGACAACUUUGCGGAGUUGACGAUUGACGGAGCGAAGCGACGUCAAAGCGUUCAUUAAAGUCGAGUUGGCUUAGGGAUACGUUCGUUGGGUAGGGGAGCGUUCUGUAAGCCUGUGAAGGUGGCCUGUGAGGGUUGCUGGAGGUAUCAGAAGUGCGAAUGCUGACAUAAGUAACGAUAAAGCGGGUGAAAAGCCCGCUCGCCGGAAGACCAAGGGUUCCUGUCCAACGUUAAUCGGGGCAGGGUGAGUCGACCCCUAAGGCGAGGCCGAAAGGCGUAGUCGAUGGGAAACGGGUUAAUAUUCCCGUACUUGGUGUUACUGCGAAGGGGGGACGGAGAAGGCUAUGUUGGCCGGGCGACGGUUGUCCCGGUUUAAGCGUGUAGGUGUGUGUUCCAGGUAAAUCCGGUUCACUUUAACACUGAGGCGUGACGACGAGGCACUACGGUGCUGAAGCAACAAAUGCCCUGCUUCCAGGAAAAGCCUCUAAGCAUCAGGUAACAUCAAAUCGUACCCCAAACCGACACAGGUGGUCAGGUAGAGAAUACCAAGGCGCUUGAGAGAACUCGGGUGAAGGAACUAGGCAAAAUGGUGCCGUAACUUCGGGAGAAGGCACGCUGAUAUGUAGGUGAAGCGGUUUACCCGUGGAGCUGAAAUCAGUCGAAGAUACCAGCUGGCUGCAACUGUUUAUUAAAAACACAGCACUGUGCAAACACGAAAGUGGACGUAUACGGUGUGACGCCUGCCCGGUGCCGGAAGGUUAAUUGAUGGGGUCAGCGCAAGCGAAGCUCCUGAUCGAAGCCCCGGUAAACGGCGGCCGUAACUAUAACGGUCCUAAGGUAGCGAAAUUCCUUGUCGGGUAAGUUCCGACCUGCACGAAUGGCGUAAUGAUGGCCAGGCUGUCUCCACCCGAGACUCAGUGAAAUUGAACUCGCUGUGAAGAUGCAGUGUACCCGCGGCAAGACGGAAAGACCCCGUGAACCUUUACUAUAGCUUGACACUGAACAUUGAGCCUUGAUGUGUAGGAUAGGUGGGAGGCUUUGAAGCGUGGACGCCAGUCUGCGUGGAGCCGACCUUGAAAUACCACCCUUUAAUGUUUGAUGUUCUAACGUGGACCCGUAAUCCGGGUUGCGGACAGUGUCUGGUGGGUAGUUUGACUGGGGCGGUCUCCUCCUAAAGAGUAACGGAGGAGCACGAAGGUUGGCUAAUCCUGGUCGGACAUCAGGAGGUUAGUGCAAUGGCAUAAGCCAGCUUGACUGCGAGCGUGACGGCGCGAGCAGGUGCGAAAGCAGGUCAUAGUGAUCCGGUGGUUCUGAAUGGAAGGGCCAUCGCUCAACGGAUAAAAGGUACUCCGGGGAUAACAGGCUGAUACCGCCCAAGAGUUCAUAUCGACGGCGGUGUUUGGCACCUCGAUGUCGGCUCAUCACAUCCUGGGGCUGAAGUAGGUCCCAAGGGUAUGGCUGUUCGCCAUUUAAAGUGGUACGCGAGCUGGGUUUAGAACGUCGUGAGACAGUUCGGUCCCUAUCUGCCGUGGGCGCUGGAGAACUGAGGGGGGCUGCUCCUAGUACGAGAGGACCGGAGUGGACGCAUCACUGGUGUUCGGGUUGUCAUGCCAAUGGCACUGCCCGGUAGCUAAAUGCGGAAGAGAUAAGUGCUGAAAGCAUCUAAGCACGAAACUUGCCCCGA
RNAcentral lists this ribosomal RNA (2873 nucleotides) under Salmonella enterica subsp. enterica serovar Muenchen. RNAcentral's name for it is "partial 23S ribosomal RNA". It matches the Rfam family "Bacterial large subunit ribosomal RNA". The record is from RNAcentral. Lineage: Bacteria; Pseudomonadati; Pseudomonadota; Gammaproteobacteria; Enterobacterales; Enterobacteriaceae.